GAUUCGUCACACUAUCAUUAACUGAAUCCAUAGGUUAAUGAGGCGAACCGGGGGAACUGAAACAUCUAAGUACCCCGAGGAAAAGAAAUCAACCGAGAUUCCCCCAGUAGCGGCGAGCGAACGGGGAGGAGCCCAGAGCCUGAAUCAGCAUGUGUGUUAGUGGAAGCGUCUGGAAAGGCGCGCGAUACAGGGUGACAGCCCCGUACACAAAAGCGCAUGUGCUGUGAGCUCGAUGAGUAGGGCGGGACACGUGGUAUCCUGUCUGAAUAUGGGGGGACCAUCCUCCAAGGCUAAAUACUCCUGACUGACCGAUAGUGAACCAGUACCGUGAGGGAAAGGCGAAAAGAACCCCGGCGAGGGGAGUGAAAAAGAACCUGAAACCGUGUACGUACAAGCAGUGGGAGCCCCACCACUAAGCCAGUGGUG
Molecule: ribosomal RNA, 426 nt
Filed under: Salmonella enterica subsp. enterica serovar Typhimurium
Lineage: Bacteria; Pseudomonadati; Pseudomonadota; Gammaproteobacteria; Enterobacterales; Enterobacteriaceae
Description: partial 23S ribosomal RNA
Rfam family: Bacterial large subunit ribosomal RNA
Source: RNAcentral